RNAcentral lists this RNase P RNA (256 nucleotides) under Candidatus Iainarchaeum sp. RNAcentral describes it as "RNase P RNA component". It matches the Rfam family "Archaeal RNase P". Rfam says of the family: Ribonuclease P (RNase P) is a ubiquitous endoribonuclease, found in archaea, bacteria and eukarya as well as chloroplasts and mitochondria. Its best characterised activity is the generation of mature 5'-ends of tRNAs by cleaving the 5'-leader elements of precursor-tRNAs. Lineage: Archaea; Nanobdellati; Candidatus Iainarchaeota; Candidatus Iainarchaeia; Candidatus Iainarchaeales; Candidatus Iainarchaeaceae. The record is from RNAcentral.
CGUCGCCGGUGGUCCGCUGACGGUACGGGGUGCAAUUCCCCGCGCUGAGGAAAGUCGGCCCACGCGUCAAAACCCCAACCGCCUUGGAAAGGGCUGCGGAGGCACAGACACGGUCUGCGUGCACGCGCAGGAUGACUCGAAGAGAGGACGUUGCGUGCAGGGCAUUGAAACGGGUCUCCGCUGGGGGCGUGCAAGUCUCUCAGUAGACGCUUAGGCGAAUGCGGAUAAAACAGAAGGCCGCUUACGGCCGGCGACG